AGUGAACGCUGGCGGUAGGCCUAACACAUGCAAGUCGAACGGCAGCACAGUAAGAGCUUGCUCUUACGGGUGGCGAGUGGCGGACGGGUGAGGAGUACAUCGGAAUCUACUUUUUCGUGGGGGAUAACGUAGGGAAACUUACGCUAAUACCGCAUACUACCUACGGGUGAAAGCAGGGGAUCUUCGGACCUUGCGCGAUUGAAUGAGCCGAUGUCGGAUUAGCUAGUUGGCGGGGUAAAGGCCCACCAAGGCGACGAUCCGUAGCUGGUCUGAGAGGAUGAUCAGCCACACUGGAACUGAGACACGGUCCAGACUCCUACGGGAGGCAGCAGUAGGGAAUAUUGGACAAUGGGCGCAAGCCUGAUCCAGCCAUACCGCGUGGGUGAAGAAGGCCUUCGGGUUGUAAAGCCCUUUUGUUGGGAAAGAAAAGCAGCAGGUUAAUACCCCGCUGUUCUGACGGUACCCAAAGAAUAAGCACCGGCUAACUUCGUG
Molecule: ribosomal RNA, 492 nt
Filed under: uncultured bacterium
Lineage: Bacteria
Description: partial 16S ribosomal RNA
Rfam family: Bacterial small subunit ribosomal RNA
Source: RNAcentral